Molecule: non-coding RNA, 12176 nt
Organism: Xyrichtys novacula (pearly razorfish)
Lineage: Eukaryota; Metazoa; Chordata; Actinopteri; Labriformes; Labridae
Source: the annotation of a GenBank genome assembly
UUGGUGGCUAGUACUAUGGCUGGGACCCUAUAUGUCCUGUUGAUGAAGUCAGGUGCUGUUCUGAGCAUUAUUUGUGGCUAUAGAGUGGCGUUUUGAUUGUGGUUUGUUUAUGGCUCCUCAGACUGUUGUGUAUUGCUAUCCUGCAGUUGUUACUAAAGUUGGUAUAACUAGAGAAGCAAACGGUCAGCAACAUUCAUCUCUCGCGGGGGUGUCUAUCUCGGUGUUAUGGUGUGUUUGACCCUGAAUUAAUUGUAUGCCAGGAUAUCCCUUUAACGUUUUUGUUCACCUGUUAUGUUAUGUGCUGCUCUUCCAGCAGCAAUAGGUGUAAUAUAGAAAUAGUGUUUCCCACCAAGAUGUGCUAAUAAGCGGCUCUGUGCGUGUGCCGAGCUUGCCACCCAUGGGAGUAUUAUUCUUUAACAGGCAACAGCCCAUGGAGGUGAGCAUCUCUGUGGAUCUUAAUGAGGGAUUGUGUAAUAUAGGAUCAAAACACACUCCUCCACUUCUUGUAGCGGCGUGAUAUGAAGUGAAUUCUUUACCGGGAGUGUUAUUAGAUAUGGGUGCACUGGAACACACUAUGCUAAGGUUUUGCUCUGCAGUGUUAAUUGUGGAAUCUAUUUCAGAUUUAGUCACAGUUUUAACAUGAAACUGGGUUUUUGUGUCUAGGGCUUUAGGAUCUCAACUUGUACCUUUACUGCAGAAUCAAGGCUGACAUCAGGACUUUCAAAAUUAGAGUAUGCUAGACUCAACUACUGGACCAGUUUUGGAAAGAGCUUCAUUUUUAAAUAGAAACUGCAUGUUUACUCUGACCCAGGAUUUCCACUGCAUCCGACAUGACACACUGACUUGAAUGGUUAUGAUCAGAUACGAUCGGUGGUACGGCCUUUUCCAUAGCUGUUCCGGAUGCGGUGGAAAUUGCCAGUAAUGGGGCACUCACACCAAGCGCAAGUAAAAUCAUCGACACACUUAAUUUCCAUAAAUCUAGACGCGUGAAUGAAUAGUAUCUACUUACUUCAUCCAUGUGUCAACAGUAAUUUCAACAGUAAUCCCUGCCAGUGCAACCGGCAGUGGUAGACAAAGAUUUUUCACAACUGACCAGGUAAUCCGACCCCCUCACCCAAUUGCCCCUGGGUGAGCUCCUUUUUAUAUCGUUUUCGGUAAUUGAAAGAAAAGAUCAGUUUGUCCUCCAUUUUAGAUACCAGUGAAGAGCCGUCCGUGUUCAGAUGUCAACCGGCAGCCUUUGUGCUGAUUAGUUAUCGCGACAUGAAUAUCCACUCAAGUUGAGACAUUCUCAGCUCCCGCCCAAUUCACAUAAUUCGUGUCGCGAGAGUAGUAGGAGCGUCUAAUCGCGUCUUUGCAUUGACUUGACCUGUAACUAAUUUUCGUGAAUGAAUUUACUCGUACUUUGUGUGUGGAGACAGUAAUAGACGCUCCAAUAUGGACUAGGUCAUUAGCACUUACAUCCUUGAUUAUUUAACACCUGAGGUUCUUUGUGCAUCACAUUUGUUUAAAAUCCAUACAUAAAAUCCCCCUUCACCAUAUGGAAAUCAAAUCUUGUGAGGAGAACAUGUAUUCAAAGGCAGCAUUUUUCAUUCCCAGAAGUUUCUGUAUCUCAUUUGAUAUAUUCAGCUCUCACUUAUAAUUGAACAGAACAGCUGGAUGGUUUAGGGGAUUUGUCCCUGUCACUGCUUUUGAAGGAAUGGGCUAAAACGGGUAUAAGUGUAACAGCAAACUCAUAUACGUGCUGAGAAUGGACAAACUAUUUGACAUGUAGCUUUACCUACCUCCUGCCAAAUGAUGUGAAGCUAUGUGACCUCUAAAUCAUAGCGUUUCUCUUCUGAUGUAAGCUUCUACUGAGAUUGUGAAAUAUUACUCAUGCAGUACACCUGGGGCAUUUGAAAAGUCCUGUAAUGCCAGAAAAUUUAGUGGUAUUUCCCCAAAGGAAGGGAUAGAAUUUGCCUAUCUCUGUAUUUUGUUGGACAUGUCUUAAUAAGCAGAAACCUCCGUCCCAGGAGCUCAUCCAGCAGCAGUGCUUACUCCAGCACUCAGAUUAGCAAUGCAAGGAGAGGUGGAAAAAAAGCCUGUGAGAAGAGUUGAUGCACGGUUUAAAGGGUAGUUAGAGUCAUAUUUUGGCAGACGUGUAAACAUUACUAAGCUUUUACUGCGGGAAAAAACAUGUUGCACGUCUCCUUCACACCCCUCUGCGAGUAAACGGCACAUGACUACACCCCUGAUGGAUCAGCCGAAUCGCAGCCAGUUGUAGUUCGCCGUGGUCGUGUACAUGUAGAAAGAUUCAUUGUAGAAACCCAAAGCUUCUCAGUAUUCGUGUGCCUCUGAGUGUUUGCAGCUGCUCUUAACCUUUGGAUCAACAUGGAUGUUUGCAGAAGUGCUUUGGGCCUGUGCUGUGGUCACAUGGGUGAUGGGCUGUAGUUAUUUAUUGCCUCAGGACCUGAAUGAAUUACAGCUUUGGGCAGUAAAUAUAAUUGAUCAAAUAUCUUUUAUUUAUACUUGGAGACCCGUUCUAAUAAAAAUCAUGUUUUUUCUUGUUGUCUACAUGCCCAUACGGCAUUUUUCUAAUGCUACAGGACAUCUCAUGAGGAAAAUAAAUGCAAAAUUGUUUUUGAGGAUUUCUUCACUCAAAUCGCUGUGAAUCUUUGGCAGACCCAAAUGGCAGGUUAAGACACAGUGAGAUUUCCCAAAUCCAAGCUCCGCCCCUGGAGCCCCGCUAUACAGGCCAUACUCCAAAAAGUAGAGGGAACGGUCGCGGAACAAGUGUGUGCGUUAGCGGAUUGCGAUGCUUGUAAUAAAGCUAUUUUUGAUAUUAACUUUCAUCACGUCCCCAAAGACAUUAGUGUCUGAGAGCUAAAUAGCUCCAAUGUUACCUGCCACUUCUACUACACCAGCAACGUAAGGCAGCAAGCUGGAGUGAAGAGGAGUGUGCAGAGCAGCGUUGUCUCCACCCAUGACUCAGAGGUGAAUUGCUAAUGAGCUACUGGAGCUCUGCAGAAGAAAACUCCUUGAAAAUGACACAGGUAACAUGAUUUUGGCUAAAAACUUCAUAAUCACAAUUUAAAGACCACUGAGGACACUUUGAGUAGUGAAAAAAAUGAUUGGAGUGGGACUUUAAAGCUCCUGUGAGAAACUUUAGGUUUUGCGGCUCCAAAACCAAUGAGGCGGGUACAUAUAUGAAACAAAAACACACCUAACCCUAAAAAAAAUUCUAAUAAAAGGUUUCUCAGCUGUUUUUUAUAGUAUUAGGUGUCCUUAAUAACAAACUAAAAGUUUACCAAAGUUUGACCACUAGAAAGGUGUCACUUUCAAGAUGGCGGUCAUGAUAGCUAGGAAGCCCGGGAGACACCCCAGGUGAAUAGGGUAAAAUUUUUAACAAACAGAUGAAGACAAUUUUUUUUUGUAUUACAAGUUUUGUCAAUGUUAUGUAUGAACAUGUAAAUGAGGCAAUAUCUCAUAAAAUAUGCACUAAUUUGCAUACAUUUCUAGAACCUAAAACUGAACUAACCCCAUAAUCCUAAAUUUAAAAAAAUUUUCCUAUUUUUUUUUGUACCAAUUGAUUUCAGAUGGUCUAAAACAUGCUCCUAAAAAAGUCCUGGCCAGUGAUUUUAACCCCUAUUCCAAAACCCUAACCCUUACCCCAAUACCCAGAUGCCACCCCAAUGUAACCCUUACACUUAAUCAGAUAUUGCCUCAUUUACAUAUUCAUACAUAACAUUUGACAAAACUUGUAAUACAAAAAAUACUUGUCAUAAUGUAAGUUAUAAACUUGGGAAGUUUCAUGGUGAUAUCUGUUAGUUAAAAAUUUUACCCCAUUCACCUGGGGUGUCUCCCCUGGGCGUCUUACCCAUCAUGGACGCCAUCUUGAAUAUGGUACCUUUCUAGUGGACAAACUUUGGUAAACUUUUACUAUACUUUACCAUCAAAGUUAACUCUUUUAAAUCAAUUUUAAACAUUGAUGUCUGUUUGAAAAAUUAUAAAAACCUUUUAACUGACAUUCUUAAGAAGCAAUAUUGGUUCAAUGACAGAGACAAAGCCGAGGUAACUGGCCCUAAAUGCAGAUGGGUGGCAUUAGCUCAUCUACAGGUGAGCCAGGGUCUCUGGCAGUUUGAGGAUCAGGACGGCAGAGAAAGAUUUAGAGGCUGCUCCAUGACGCACACCUGAAAAUUAGUAGAACACGGGCAAAGAUGUAGAUAGGGGGUGAAAACAAAUGUUGCUCCAAGUCUGGCGGGACAAGGUGCUAGCAUUUUCUGUCAUUUUGAUUUACAUCAAGGUGAACUCAAUAUUAUCAUCAUCUUCCUCAUUGUAGCUGAACUGUUCAGCUCUUUGCAUAAACAGAAUAAUUUAAGCCUCUGAAAAAUCACCUUGAUAUUGAAAAUAUAGGCUUUUGUUUUAAGUGAUCGAAUGAACUAAUGUGUUUUUUCCAGAUAACCACAAUGGUAACAAUGACUCUAAAUCCUCUCAAUCCCCUUUCUUUACAGCCCCUCAUAAUCCGUCAUGUCAUGUUCAUUGUUGAAAGCAAAUUCGUCCAUUUCCACACCACAAGCUCUCAAACACACAGCGCUACUCCAGCACGAGUGCCACCAAGUUGCAGCGCACCCCCCGUGUAAAGAGGGAAUUUAAUUAGGUGCUUAAAUAUUCAAUCAGCACUCUCAUUACUUAAACCAAGAGGCUCUCUGUAUGGAUUUGACAAAGAGCCAGGGCACACAGAGCAUGCCUGCUAGUUGAAGAUAGUAGUAAGUCUACCAUUCAACCGAAACAGUGGAUUUCCUGAGGACAGCAGGAAACACCAGAGGGACAGGCACUUCUCCUUAAUGAGCCAUGAAUUUGGUAUUAAACAAGUUCUUCCUCGUUAAUGCCACGGGAAGUGGUCAAGGAUGUUGCACCCUCAUUCUGAAGCUGUUUCAUCACCUUUACCCACCAAAAUAAGGAGGGGGGGGUGACGUGUCAUCAUCACUGAAUGGUCUUAUCACAAUUGAUUUCCUUUUCGUAUUUCGGUGCUUCAAAAGAAAGUACUCAUUAUUAUCUGCAUGGCUGGAAGUGAAGGAUAUAAAAGAUGAAAAUGUGUCUAAAUUUGUCAGCAAAUCUCAAAGGAUCUUCAUCGCAAAUAAUAAUGGGCUGGAAUUUAAAAAAUAUAUAUAUGCAACAAUUUAUGAUAACUGUUUCAUAUAAAAUAAGAUAAAAUAAGAUUAUAUGAAAUAAUCUAAAUAAUUAAAUUAUAAUAAAAAAGAUAAAAAUUAAAAUGAAAUAAAUUAGACAAGAUUAAGAAAAAAAAAUACAUUUUUAAUGAUAGUAAAUAUGUUUGUUACCAAUGCAAUAAAGUAAAACAAAAUAGAUAAAAUGAAAUAAAAAUAAAAAGGGACAAAAUUGACACAAAAAAAUCAGUCCUUGCACAGGUAAGAAAAAGGAAAUAAAUAGCCUACUUUACACAACUUCAAAAUAUUGUUUUCCUUGUUUAAAAUGACAAAAGGAAACAUAUUCAGCAGGAAAUACUAACAUGAUAUUUAGUCUUGUAAAAUUCGAGAGAAACAAAGUCCAGCAGGAGGGGGAAUGUCUGAAAGAGCUCCUUUUGUAUGUUGUGGCCAGCUGUGUUUACUAAUAAUGUAAUUUAUAACUGAGCUGCGAUGUGAAACUAUUUAAAAUGUUUGACAUUUUCUUCACAGAAAUUACUUCAAGCAUAUAACAGCUGAACAGUUACACAUGCCCCUCGAGUCAAAAAAUGACACAGAAUUAAAGUCGCUGUGGGAAAACAGCAGAUUUCUGCCACACCAGAAUCACUUUUUUUCUUAAACAGCAUGUCAUUUAGUAACACAGUACUAACCCAAGACAGGCCGAGCUUGUUUAUAUAAUAAUUCAGAAAUGUUCCGUCUUGGACUUAAAUGUAAAGAUGUCAAGCAACCCUAACACAUCGACUCUAUCCCUCUAACCCUGACCUUCUAACCCUCUGACACCCAUCCCCUAACCCAAACGCUAACCCUAAUCCUCACCCUGUAACCCUAACCCCCUAACCCUCUAGCCCUAAUACUAACCCUCUAACCCUAACCCUUUAACCUCAACCCUCUGACCCUAACCCAACCUGAACCCUCCCCAACCCUAACCCUCUAACCCUAAUCCUAACCCUCUGACCCUAACCCUCAACCUGAACUCUCCAAACCUAACCCUCUAUCCCUAAACCCUAAUCUAAUCCUCACCCUCUAUUCCUAACCCUCUUACCCUAAUACUCACCCUAUAACCCUAACUCCUAACCCUCUAUCCCUAAUCCCAACCCUCUGAAAACAACCCUCUAGCCCUAAUCCGAACCCUUGAACCAUAACCCUCUGACCCUAACCCUCAACCUGAACUUUCUAACCAUAACCCCUUAACCCUAAGCCUCUAACCCUAACCCUUUUGACCCUAACCCUCUAACCCUAACUGUUUUAACCCCAACCCUCUAAUCCUGACCCCCUAACCCAAACCCUCUAACCACGAACCCUAACCCUCUAGCUCUUAAUUCUUACCCUCUAGCCCUGAACCCCUAACCCUUGCCCUUCAACUCUAACCCUCUAGCCCUAACCCUAAUCCGUUUUCUCUUACCCUAACCCUACUAACCCUAACCCUCUAACAUUAACCCCCUAACCCUUCUAACCCCAACACCCUAAACCCUCUUCCCUAGCCCCAGAGAUCUGUCUGAUUUAAAUAAUAAAUCAUCUAUUCAUGUUUGUAAAGGCUCUAAAUCAGUGAUAAAAAUGUUUUCACUGUGAAUUUUUCAUUAAAAUUGUCUCUGCUAUUAUUUUGAGGGUUAAAAAUUAACUUGAGAAGAUAAACACACAAACCUACCAUGGGAAAAUGUGCAGACAACAAACAAGGACACCAGGGAGAGAAUAUACAUAAUGACUGUCCUCCAUAAUAGAUAUGUAAAACGAGCAGCAGCUCCUCAUGGCAGCAUAAUAAAUCAGUGGAUUUCUCAGGUCGAAAUUGUCUGUUCAGGAUUUGAUUAAUUUUGGGAGAAAACUAAGGACACAUCUGUUUCUUUGAGUAUUAAAACUAUUGGGAUCUACAUUUACUCAUUAUUCUUCAAUAACAUUAUUCCAAAAGCUAAAUUCUAAGAUUAAACUUGCUUUACCUUGUUGAAAAGGUACAAAAGUGUAUGUAUAUGUCUGUAAAAGUUAUUUUUUCAGGAACAGAAGCUGGUACCUUUUAUCUGCAGUGUCAUUUUUAAAGAGUAAAACUCUUCUCACAGUCCAAAAAGAAAGGAAGAAAACACAUAUAACCUCAUUUUUCUUGUUAGUUACUGUAAGUCUGCUCUGUCAAGUGUGGAAAAAUGUUGUUUUCCUUUCUCUGAAUUCCACCCCUGCUUAUAUGCGUCAAAUCUCUGAAAUGGUAAGACCUUUUCUGGGGCUGUUAGCAUUUUGAAGGAAGUGCCUAUUAUGCAAUGUGUUGACGCUCAGGGGGGCUUCUCCCCGUAUCCUUUGAGUUUUCAUUACCUUGGAGCCAGCCGGGAGAAUAUGAGAGCAAGCUGAACAGUGACUACUCCUCGCUGAGCUCCGUGGCACCUUGAUGGCCAGGAGCUUAUGCUUUCCUUGAGACGCCGAGCUGUUACUUCUUUUUUGUUUGUUUCAGAUUUAUGAUCGGUGCACUGUGGAGAAAACAAGUCAUCAGGGCGGAAAAGAAUCAGAGGCCCAAAACUAAUCUGGAUCUUGUCACAGGCUUAAUUAAAUGUUGUUAACAAAUAUUUGUUUAUGAUAUGCAUCCUCAGUUGUACCUACUCCCUGAAGAGUUCGGAUAAUCCAUGUGCUGUUUACUUAUAGGAGGAAAGUUGUUCUGCAAAUGCUAAACUCAAGAUUGGGCUGCUUUGAUCAGCAUCUCAGCCGUGCAAUAAGCUUUCUCAGUGAGAUAACACUCAAGUCAACGUUUUAAUUUAACUCACAUUUAGAAAAGGCUUCAAAUAUUAUUCAUACAGUAGAAAAAAAACACAUUUCAAAUGUGUAAAGUUUCUGUGUAGAGUAUAAUGAAACUUACUGAAACUCUUUCUGAGCUACUGAAGCAAAUGAGACCAUCAGUAACAUUGAUUAUAUAAAUACGGUGACAUUUAGCACCUUCAACCACUCCUUAGGGUCAAGUGUCAGACAAAGUAUUGUAUUAGCACACCCUUUUUUAUCCACAAGGGGUGCUACAAUCAACACAAGCCAAAUGUUCCCAACAGGAGCUUUAAUGAAGUUUAUUUUCAAUUAUUGGAGGCAUUGCUUUGGGAUGCUCCAUGUUUCAUUCAAUCACUCUAGAAGUAACCCUGAACCUGGUAAGAAUCGCUGUUUGGACAGCCUGAGGGAUAAACCACAAAAUCAUUCUGAGCUGGAGUCAAAAUGUUUGUUUGUGGUUAAAAAUGUAAGCUUGACACACCACUGUGUAUCGUCUAUAACAGCAAAUAGUCUUGACGUUGUCUCUACAUAAGCUUUUCCACAACUUAUCAAUUUGUUGACGACUCAAACUUCUACUACUACUAAAACUCGGCGCUGUGGGCAAUUGCCAACUCAUCGAGUAGUCAAUACCACAGGGAAGGAGCUGACCUUGGCUCUGACAUGCAGCUAAAGGUGUUUUAUGUUUAGUCACGCAACACUGUUAUAUUUUCUCUUCAAAUGAAUAAAAUUUCAGUCUGAAUAGUUUCAUUUCUCUGUGGAAAGCUUAAGUUGUGAGUUUAAUACACAAAAUACAACUUUUAUUGUGCACUAGUUCUGCAACUUUCCUACAUAACAACUAUUUGACAAGUUAACUUCUAUUUUAAUUGACUUGGCAACUUGUAAAAAUAAUUAGUCAUGAAACUCCUACCUCAGAGUUAAUCGCAUGCUUGCAAUUGCAUCUACAAAACACCGCAAUCAACACAAAGUACCUCCAACUGAUAACAACCACCGCAACCAAUAAACAGUUCUAACUAUCAACAACAUCAAAAACACACAAAAGCCAACACAAAGAAAAACAGACAAACAACAAAACACCACCAUCCAACACAACCAACAAGGAACAUCCACCACAUCCAAAAAAACACCACCAACAAUCAACGUUAACAAGCCCCUCCAACCACCACCACAAUCAACAAUCACCGCCAACCACCACACCCAACAACCGCAACCAAAGAAACUCAGCCAAGCACCAUAACCAAGAAACAUGGAAAACUACCACAAGCACCAAGCACCCCCAAUCACCUCAACCACUUACUGCUAUGUUUAACAACCAACAAGCACCUCCAACCUCUACAACCAACAAUACCAAAUAUCAAACCAUGCUUGUCACACUUUAGACUGUCUGAGCAUAACCUGUCCAACGUGGACCAGCAAACAUUCACUUAGAGGAGUCCUGAUAAAUGAGUUCUUGGAACCAAGUACUUCGUUGAUAUGAACAGAGUCUUAACACUUAAAAAAAAUCAUUUUGAAUUAUAAAACCAAAGGUAUAACAGUCAGUUUUAAACUUUCUAAGUCUGUUCAGGUUAUGCUUUCCUAUGGUGUCAAUUCCUUUGACUUUGGUAUCUGCUGUUGUGUCAAACUCAACUGUUGAUUGAUUGGUUGAUUUCAACGUUAAUGAUUUGAAAUUAAUUUUAAUAUUCUAUUAAUUUUAAGUUGGCAAAUGCUUCCUCUGUUGCUUGCAUUUCUCAGGGGAAUAAAAAACUAAAUUGGGACGUAACUAAUGAAAUGGGAAGAACAGGUAAAAGGCCGUGGAGUUCCAGGUCAGGGGCCCACUGAAAACUAGGAGACCUGUCGAGACUUGGAGACUCAGGCCAAGUGCUGAGGAGCUCAAGGUCUGUAAGCUUGCGACUUGUUCUGUUUUUCUGGUAAACAAUGGUUUUCAUAAAUAAUUAGGGCAAAUGAAAAAAAAAAUUGUCUCUGUAUAUCUUAUUGAUUUAAAAUUGUUUUAAUCACUUUUUUUCAUUUUCAGUAUGUUUCCUUGCAUCUUUAAAUCACUUUGAGUUGCCUCAUGUAUGAAUGGUGCUGUACAAAUAAACUUGCCUUUAUUAUUUAGAUAAAAAAUAAGAUAUUUUUUAAAGUUUGUAAAAGUGACACCAAUUGUAUCGGAAAAAGGUUCUACUUUGUGCUCAAACACCACCAACUGUAGCCUGUAUGCAAAGUUACUCUUGAUCAUACCUCUCAGACAGGACCUUUGUGUCCUUCAGCCCGUGUGUGGGUGGUCAUGACUAGCGGGAGAAAAACACAAGUUCCCUUGUUUAUUCUCAGCCCAAACCGGUGGAAAAAAAAUGCUCAGGGAUUUGUUGCCGUUCCCAAAGCCCAUUUUGUGGUUACAGAGCUGUCACCGCUCCCUGAAAGCAGCACAGAGCAGUAUUAAUUAGGCCACCUUUAGCCCUGUAUUUACUCCACCUUUCACGUUGUUAAUGGUGAAAAGAUAUUGUUGGCUUAGCACAAGCUGUUGUCAAAUGAAAGGAUACUUUUAUAGUCUAUUAAUCAUGAAAUAUGUUGGUUGGUGACAGGUUAUACCAUUUCUCCAGUCAUUAAAACAUGAACUUAAAUAUAAUGUUUGUGUUUGACGACACAUGAUGGCGGAAGCAAUAAAAGAGACAUUCUGGUAACUACUGGACGUGAAAAGGCUUAGAGGUAGUACAUGUUUUAUUUCAGGCACACCAAAGACACAGGGGCACGGUCCUCGGCUCUGCUGUCUCUAAGCUUUUUGACCCUUUCUGAGUGUAGGUCAAAAUAACUAUUCAUCUUCAUCCUCUGGUACAGAACCCCAUCUAAUUUCCUCACUGUCCUCUACUGCUGCACCAUCACCGCCAGACCUCGCUUCCCUUUCCCAGAGCCUUUCAAUGUUUAAAUCUUCACACUUGAGAGGCUCAGAAUAAAGUAUUCAACGACCUCUAGCCACAGAACUAACAUACAACAGCGACAAUUUAGAGGUAACAAUCAUUGGAUGACCAAACUUGUACACAGGGCAUGGGUCUAAAACAAGAUGAUCUUGUCUCUGGCGGAUUUCCUGGCGAUUGUUUCUAUAUCUGCUGAUUCUUUCACUUCGCAAUCUUGACAGCAGGACCCCCAAGUGUUUUUAAGAUAAUUUGAAGUCACAGGUUGAGUUAAUCCCAUAGACUGUAUAUAGAAUGGACAGCGUCUGCCUCCUCGCUGAGUGAAGCCACCUCGAGAACAGCACCAUCUGGUGACGGGCUGCAGUAAGAAACUUAAGACAUUUAUUACACAGAACAUAAUUUUUUUUCCUCCCUACUUGCGAUGUUGACAUGUAGUUACUAUAAGACUGGUUUGUGCCCAAGUCCUCUUUUUUCUGUACAGCUCCAUUUUUAAAAAGUUAUUAGGGGGUUCAUGUUUUCUACGAUUGACACCUGAUACAGCCUAUGGGCGUACAAGGAUUGCGUAGAUCACCGGGGGAUACGCUGUUUGAGCCGAGCGUCAUCACAGCGACUCUCCUGUUGAAUGCGUACAAUGCUACUGCGCAAUGUUGGUUUCAGGAAAUGGAGAAAAAUGCGGAAAUAACAAGAGCUAUUCGGCUUCAAAUCCGUAUACUGGCGGAAGGUGGAACCAUGUUGUCCACGGUAUAAACAGUCUAUGGUUAAUACUUGGUGAAGUCGAGAAUAUACCACAUUGUUUCAUCUGAAUUUUAGGAGAUGUUUGACUGCAACGGAUGCAGCAAACACAUCCUUCAUGUCUAGAUAGCCUGGGAAGAAUUUGUGGGUGUCGUGUGAAGGAAGCUUCACACUGGGUCAACCUUUGAUUUGCCCCUGUGAUGCAACAGGUCUUCAAAUGUGCUCUCUGAAGGACGCAGCUGUUGGGGUCACAGGGAGGUUGCCAGGUUUGGUUCUAUCAGGCCUGUUAACUGACCUGAACCCAAACCGUUGUCUCACCAAGCACAGCCAACCUGUGCGAGUGCUGUAGUACUUGAUGGGAAGAAACACUGAGUACUUCCUGUGUGUAGGCUAGGCUAACUCUAGGUUUGCAACUAUCAGCAGCCAUGACAUUGAAAAAGAAAGCCAGUGAUUGUGGAAAUGUAGAGCUUUUGCCCAAAUUGAAAUUAAUGUCCAAUUUCCGUGGCUUUUGUUUAACUGAUGUAAUUGUGCAGACUUUUAACUGGAAAUAAGGCGAAAGAGAAAAUGUGUUGGUGCACUGGGGGUUAGGUUUGAUGACGCUGCAGCUGUCAAUCUGCACUGUAGGUUUUGAGCACUGGUGCAGAAAGAGGAAUAUUAAUGC